This is a non-coding RNA of Stegodyphus mimosarum, 73 nucleotides long. Lineage: Eukaryota; Metazoa; Arthropoda; Arachnida; Araneae; Eresidae. The record is from Rfam.
GCCUUCAUGAUGUAGUGGUCAGCACGCUCGAUGUGUAACCAAGAGGUCCGUGGUUCGAUUCCCGGCGAAGGCG